Molecule: ribosomal RNA, 848 nt
Filed under: uncultured bacterium
Lineage: Bacteria
Description: bacterial SSU rRNA
Rfam family: Bacterial small subunit ribosomal RNA
Source: RNAcentral
CCGAAAGUCCGCGGGGCAGCAUGGGGGUUGCUUGCAACCCCCGAUGGCGACCGGCGCACGGGUGAGUAACGCGUAUCCAACCUGCCCUUCACCACGGGAUAACCCGGCGAAAGUCGGACUAAUACCGUAUGUUGUCCAUUGACGGCAUCCGAUUUGGACGAAAGGCUUUGCGGUGAAGGAUGGGGAUGCGUCCGAUUAGCCAGACGGCGGGGUAACGGCCCACCGUGGCUACGAUCGGUAGGGGUUCUGAGAGGAAGGUCCCCCACACUGGAACUGAGACACGGUCCAGACUCCUACGGGAGGCAGCAGUGAGGAAUAUUGGUCAAUGGGCGUAAGCCUGAACCAGCCAAGUAGCGUGCAGGAUGACGGCCCUAUGGGUUGUAAACUGCUUUUAUGCGGGGAUAAAGGAGCCCACGUGUGGGCUUUUGCAGGUACCGCAUGAAUAAGGACCGGCUAAUUCCGUGCCAGCAGCCGCGGUAAUACGGAAGGUCCGGGCGUUAUCCGGAUUUAUUGGGUUUAAAGGGAGCGUAGGCCGCGCCUUAAGCGUGUUGUGAAAUCCGGGUGCUCAACAUCCGGCUUGCAGCGCGAACUGGGGCGCUUGAGUGCGCUGAAAGUAGGCGGAAUUCGUGGUGUAGCGGUGAAAUGCUUAGAUAUCACGAGGAACUCCGAUUGCGAAGGCAGCCUACUGUAGCGCUACUGACGCUGAUGCUCGAAAGCGUGGGUAUCGAACAGGAUUAGAUACCCUGGUAGUCCACGCGGUAAACGAUGGAUGCUCGUUGUCGGCCCUUCGGGUCGGUGACCAAGCGAAAGCGUUAAGCAUCCCACCUGGGGAGUACGCCGGCAACGGG